GAUGAACGCUGGCGGCGUGCCUAAUACAUGCAAGUCGAGCGAACAGACGAGGAGCUUGCUCCUUUGACGUUAGCGGCGGACGGGUGAGUAACACGUGGGUAACCUACCUAUAAGACUGGGAUAACUUCGGGAAACAGGAGCUAAUACCGGAUAAUAUUUCGAACCGCAUGGUUCGAUAGUGAAAGAUGGCUUUGCUAUCACUUAUAGAUGGACCUGCGCCGUAUUAGCUAGUUGGUAAGGUAACGGCUUACCAAGGCAACGAUACGUAGCCGACCUGAGAGGGUGAUCGGCCACACUGGAACUGAGACACGGUCCAGACUCCUACGGGAGGCAGCAGUAGGGAAUCUUCCGCAAUGGGCGAAAGCCUGACGGAGCAACGCCGCGUGAGUGAUGAAGGUCUUCGGAUCGUAAAACUCUGUUAUUAGGGAAGAACAAACGUGUAAGUAACUGUGCACGUCUUGACGGUACCUAAUCAGAAAGCCACGGCUAACUACGUG
This 497-nucleotide ribosomal RNA is filed under the name uncultured bacterium. RNAcentral describes it as "partial 16S ribosomal RNA". It matches the Rfam family "Bacterial small subunit ribosomal RNA", at positions 28 to 507 of the family's 1533-position model. The record is from RNAcentral.